CUCCUAAGGACGCGAUGAACGGCGCAUCGGUAUAUGUGGGCACCAUCAUUAUCCCCCAGGGACCUUGUUCCAGAUCCAGUGGACAUCAUGCCGACGGCAGCGACACUCUGGAUGAGAGGAAGAGGUUCUAAAUCAUGAAGUUUUUGGACUUCACGGAUAAGGAGGAAAUAAUGCGGGUGUUCCGGGCUCGCUCGGAGACGCUCACCUUUCAAGGCUCUACUGUUAUACUUUUUAACUACUACUCAGCUGCGGUCACAAAGAAAAGGAGAGCAGUCAGCGACAUCUGCACAUCUCUUUUCUGAUACAACUCGCUUCCAGCUGUUAUACCCCGCAAUACUCUGUACUAGAUGUGCGGAUGGGUCUUACAAGACUUUUAACUCAUCCAAGGAGGCUGUAGCAUUUUUUUGUUCAGAGUCCAUAUCUUCGCGGAAGGGAUGACGCGGAAUCUACCAAAAUUGGAGGAUCCAGACCUUUGCAGCGACUCCCGAAUGUUGCUACGUCAUCUCAAGGACAGCGUGACAAAGACAACGCCAAGAUGCCGGCAAAAGAACAGCGGAGACAUUGUUGCUGAGGACUCGCGCUCCGUUUCCCCUUGGAUUCUUUUUAAUGGGUAAAUUAGGAACAAUCUUUGCCCCAGGUAGUCUUAUCUCUUAUACUUAUUUUGGUUCAUAUAGGAGGUGAAGGAGGGACGCAAGGUACCAGAAGAAAUUGAAGUCCAUAAUAUAAAAAUUUUGGGGUUAUUAUAUAGUGGGAACAGUUCAUUUUACCGCUAUGUUUUGGUUUCUUAUAUGUGGUCAUCCAAACGAUGUUAUGUUAAUAUUAUGUUUCAUUACUGUCUUUGUGAGUGAUUCCGUCAAGGGCUCUUUAUGUGUAGUUAUCAUAACAUGCUUAACUUAGUUCCCUGCAGAAACACUUGAUGAUUUUACGUCAUCUUAAACACCUGGGUGCAGAUAUUGCGCUUCUGCAGGAAACUCAUCUUGAGGAUUCCAUAGAAUGGCGAAAUUAUGGGUUGGCGAGGUUUAUGGAUCCUCUGCAAUAAAGGGGAAGACCGGGGUACUUACUUUAAUACAUAAGAAUCUGUUGCAUAGGACACAGGCACAUUUCAGGGAUGAAGAGGGUAGAGUAUCUGCUUUCAAACUAUCUUGUUCAGCUGGGGACAUAUAUGCUCCUUAUGUAUCCCAGGGCCUCGUUUUUACAAAGCUGAGUGCUAUGGUGUUGCAGGACCCCAUAAGGGACAAACUUAUCGGAGGAGACUUCAAUGCUGUAGUCAGCAGGAUAGAAGACCUUCAACAGGCAAAUCGAUCAGGGCGGACCGCUCGACCUGAUGGGAAGAUUUUGACGCAUUUCCUUACAGACUUGGGCAUGCUAGAUUCCUGGAGGGUCUUACAUCCUGAUGAGAGGCAAUUUACUCAUUAUUCCCACGCACAUGACUCAUCGUCGCGGAUUGACUACUGGUUCUUGGGCUCCCAUCUGCUACAGCGGGUGCAAGAUGUAGUAAUAAGGGAAUUAGUGAUAUAGGACCAUUCCCCGAUUAUAAUGACGAUGGCUGACACGAUCCCGCACGGAAUUGAAUUUAUUUGGAAAUUCCCAUCUUUUAUGGCAAAAGAUGAAUCUUUUGCAGACCUCGUGAAGGGAUGGUGGUUGGAAUAUAGCACUUUGAAUCAGGAACAUGGCGCGGAUCCAAUGCUUUUUUGGGAGGCGGGUAAAGCGGUCCUGAGGGGUUGGCUGAUAGCUUACAUGUCCAAGCUUAAAAAAGCCACCAAGGAAAAAUACCUGGAGACCAACAAUAGGGUUUAGAAGGCUUACGGGGAAUUUAUACAAUCCCGCUCCCCUCAACAUAAACACAACUGGAUGGAGGCACGUAGGGACUUUGACCUCUGGGCCGACAGACGGGAAAGCUUUUACAAAUCUCAAUGGGAGCUUGAACUCUAUAAAUGUGGAAAUAAGGCAGGCAGAUUAUUGGCUAACCUAGCGAAGGGGCAGCGUCCGAUAUACCCUCUGCACUGCAUACGAGACCCUGAAGGGAGGGUCAGGUCUAACCCUGUAGAGGUACUACAAGUGUUUAGGGAGUAUUAUUCUGGACUUUAUAGCGCACCUAGUAGUGAAGGAAGGGCAACGUUGGAAUUUCUUGGAGGUGUGAAUCUGCCGACCCUUUUCCCCGAGCAACUAGAGAGUUUAAAUAAACCCAUCACGAAGGAGGAGAUACAGGCUAUACUUUUUUGGUAGGACUAGAAGCUCUAGUGCGUUUAUCUUAAUACACAGGGGAAAUUCACUGGCAUUAAAGUAGGAAAUAAGACGAUGCAGGCAGUUUUUUUGGCGCACGACAUUCUCUUAUUUGUGGAAAAACCCCAAGAGGAAUUCCAAAUGAUAUUAGACAAGAUUGGGAAUUUUGGCGCAUUCUCGGGUUUUAAAAUAAAUGUGGCAAAGUGCACUCUCCUGAGCAGAGGGAGAAAUCUGGCUAGCCAAGAGUCAAAAAUUUGUGGAAUACCUAUAGCGAGUAAUACUAUUAAAUAUCUAGGAAUUAAGCUAGGUCAUACUGCAGACUCGUUAUACAGGCUUAAUUAUACUCCUUUAUUUCAUAAUAUUGCCCAGGAACUAAGGAAAUGGCAGAGUCUUCCUUUGUCUCUCUUGGGGCAUUUGGUUAAAAGGAUUAACUUUUGAUUAAGCAUAUGGAUAUUACUAUGGUCCACAGUGACCUUGUUACCCGAAUAGGUAUAAAAAAACUUAAAUGGCACUUAAAAUUAAAGGUGGCGUGAAUUUGCCAGACGUGCGACUGUACAACUUGUCAUGUCUUUUUAGGCACAUCAUAGAUUGGGUAAGGGAAACAAGCCACUACUGAGAUUUUGCUUUAGAGAAGGCCCUUCUUUCACCAUAUGCUCUCUGUACUUUACUCCAUACGAGUCUGCAAGGCUUACCUAUGCAUCUGAGAAACUCAAUUAUUUUUAGACAUACCUGGGCUGCCUGGAAGGCCCUCAGGAAACAAUUUCGCCUUAGCCAAAAAAUAUCUAAAUAUUUGCCCUUGUGGGAUCACCCUGAAUUUACACACGGGAGAUGUAAUAGACUAUUUAAAGAGUGGAUAGAAAAAGGUAUCUUAACAGUGGUGCAAAUGAUUCACCGGACAGAAAUCAGAUAGUUAAUGCAGCGAGAGACCAUAGAUAAAUAUCAGUUGAGACCCUUUUGCACAGGUAAAACAUUUCCAUACUGAAAGUUUAUUGGAUCCUUCUAGGGAAACUUCUCAAACCAGUUUCAAUAAAAUCAUACAGAGAGGGACAGGCCCACAGUCCAUUUCUUGUUUGUACACACAAAUCAGGGAAGUAUUGGGAGAUGGGUUACCUCACCAGGCUUUCAGGCCUUGGGCACUAGCAUUAGAAGAUCAGAAGGCAGGAAACAAAAUCUUGAAAAGGUGGUAGGCAGUGAGAAAUAACAUCAUAAACGAAACUUGGAAUUUCAGGAUCAUGCAUAAUGCCAUAUAUGCAUUUAAUCUCCCUCCAACACCGAACAAACCAGACAGGCUGACAUACUGUCCGAAAUGCCAUACACAAAAAACAGACUUGUUUCACGGGUUGUGGUCCUACCCAAAAUCUGGGGAAGUAUGGAGUCAAAUGGCAAGCCUCAUAAAGGAUAUCUGGGCACUUGAUAUACCACUUGACCCUAUGAUCUAUCUUUUCCAUUAUUGGGAGAAGGAAGGGGAGGAAGGCCUGGUAGAACAGAAGCUGCCAGUUCUAUUUCAUGCUAUCUGUCUGGUCACAAAGAGGAGCCUGUUGCAGAACUGGCUACAUACAACCUGCCUACCCCACAAAGGGACAUAUACUACAGAACUUAAAAAACUUACUGACAUUGGAAAGAAGGGAAGUAGAGAGAAACAAAGAAAAGAAAAUAGGUAAGUUUAUCAGAAAAUGGCUAGGUUUCUUGACACGCAACCUCUCAUAUUUAGAGAUAGAUAACAUAAUGAGGCCUUUUACUUUAACAAAAUGGUAUCUGACUUAACAAUUGAAAGGUUCUUUAGGUAGAUUACAACAGAGAUCUUAAGUCUUUUAUAGGGAUACAUUCCCUACCUAGGAAACAUCCUUAAUGUUGGUGUAUUCCAUUAUGUGAAAUCUUACUGACAGAAAGAGUCCAGACACAUUAUAGUGUAAUACAAUAUAACUCACGUAGACAGUUGUUUUUAUUUUGUUUCUGAUAUGUUUUGUUCUUAUUAUAAUGUAAAUUCUUACCAUGUGACACAUAAUUCUGUUGUCCGCUCUACCUGAGCAUAUGUAUUUUUUGUGAACAAAUUAAAUUGUUAGAAAAAAAAAAAGCUUAGCGGUGAACUAGCAAAACCAUUAACAGAUUUAUUUAACUAAUCACUGGUAAC
Bufo gargarizans (Asiatic toad) is the source of this 4354-nucleotide long non-coding RNA. RefSeq lists it as uncharacterized. The transcript is spliced from 3 exons. NCBI's taxonomy places the organism in Eukaryota, Metazoa, Chordata, Amphibia, Anura, Bufonidae. The record is from RefSeq and is a predicted model, not a curated record.